RNAcentral lists this ribosomal RNA (471 nucleotides) under uncultured bacterium. Its description in RNAcentral is "bacterial SSU rRNA". It matches the Rfam family "Bacterial small subunit ribosomal RNA", at positions 328 to 793 of the family's 1533-position model. The record is from RNAcentral.
CUCUGUGACUCCUACGGGAGGCAGCAGUGGGGAAUAUUGCACAAUGGGCGCAAGCCUGAUGCAGCCAUGCCGCGUGUGUGAAGAAGGCCUUCGGGUUGUAAAGCACUUUCAGUUGUGAGGAAGGUGGUGUCGUUAAUAGCGGCAUCAUUUGACGUUAGCAACAGAAGAAGCACCGGCUAACUCCGUGCCAGCAGCCGCGGUAAUACGGAGGGUGCGAGCGUUAAUCGGAAUUACUGGGCGUAAAGCGCAUGCAGGUGGUUCGUUAAGUCAGAUGUGAAAGCCCGGGGCUCAACCUCGGAAUUGCAUUUGAAACUGGCAGACUAGAGUACUGUAGAGGGGGUAGAAUUUCAGGUGUAGCGGUGAAAUGCGUAGAGAUCUGAAGGAAUACCGGUGGCGAAGGCGGCCCCCUGGACAGAUACUGACACUCAGAUGCGAAAGCGUGGGGAGCAAACAGGAUUAGAUACCCUGUAG